UUAACUAAAGCCAAAAAGAGGCACACCACUGUUAAUGGUGUAAUUGAGCUCUUAUAUAGCUCUAGUUAAG
RNAcentral lists this transfer RNA (70 nucleotides) under Lysmata debelius (fire shrimp). Its description in RNAcentral is "tRNA-Asn". The record is from RNAcentral. Lineage: Eukaryota; Metazoa; Arthropoda; Malacostraca; Decapoda; Hippolytidae.